Molecule: long non-coding RNA, 1297 nt
Filed under: Sus scrofa (pig)
Lineage: Eukaryota; Metazoa; Chordata; Mammalia; Artiodactyla; Suidae
Description: lncRNA (ENSSSCG00065042906.1)
Source: RNAcentral
AUGUCCCGGGACCAAUUCACAGCUCUUGCUCUAGCACCGAGAGGCUCUAGAAGCCCCAGCCCUGCAACCUUCUCGGAGCCAUCCUCUCCGACCGGGACAAGGAGACAAGGACUGAAUCACCUCUUCUCCCACUUUCCUUCGCGGGGCCGCUGGCACUCUCGCUCCCUCCGGCCCCGCCUGCCCUCUGUCCGAGGGUCUCCCUCCGGCUGGCUCUGCGUGGAGGCCUCAGGAGGAGCGAGCAGGACUGCCUGCUUGGCCCGGGCGAACCGCACCUCUUUGGCUUGGAACCGACUCUGAAGUGUAUGAGGACCCAGUGGGAGAGAGGACCUCGCUUGGAAAUACUUCGGGGGGUUCUUCACCUGGUCAGUUUCUGUCUGAGAGACCCUCUGGUUUCCUGAAGUCAGGAACAAUCUUCCUUUUUUUUUAGGGUUGCAUCUGCAACAUAUGGAGGUUCCCAGACGAUAGGGGUCGAAUCUCAGCCGCGGCUGCCGGCCUACACUGCAGCCACGGCAUCACCGGAUCCAACCUACACCACAGCCCAUGGCAAUGCUCGAUCCUUAACCCCCUGAGCGAGGCCAGGGAUCGAACCUGCAUCCUCAAAGAUACUAGUCAGGUCCAUAACCCACUGAGCCACAACAGGAGCUCCCAGGAAUGCUUUUCUUCAUCUUUUAUUUUAACCCUACUGCCUAGCAUACUCCAUACAACGCAGUGGUCUUGGAAGUGCGAGGAUGUAGAGGGGAAAAUACUUGGAGAGGUUUUUUUUUUAAGUGGCUUUACACAGGUUAUUUAAAGGUAUUAAAAAUACAUUCACUUUAAUGCCUCCUCUAAGCCAGCCUUCUCUCCACUCAAUCUGUGUGGUUUGAGUGGAACUGACUCCCGUCCAGUGGCUCCAGGUGAGUACCUAGGAAGCAAUUUGGGCCACUCACAGUCACCAUAAAGAAUUUUCUGGAACUACAGGAAGAGAGGCUCUUUCUCUGAAUGGGACCUCAAAUGGACUCUUAACUGCAUUUCUGGGAAAAACCUUAGCUCAAUCCUCCUGAAGCCAACAUGUCUUUUCCAUUCAGAAACUUUAUCAUUUGUUAUUGAAAAAGAAAAGUAAGGUUCCCAUUAUUUUUGUAGCCACAGAGAAAAAUUAUAGUCAUAAAAUCUGAGCCUGGAUACGGCCAGUUACCAGCUGCCGAGGUUAUUAAAGUCAUUUUUCUAUAUUGUAUGAAAACACGAAAGCGAAGGUGCUUUGGGGAGAAAAACCACGGUGCGUCCGCAGCGAUCUGGAAGCGGUACCCUAGCCACGCCGCGG